Long non-coding RNA from Xiphophorus hellerii (green swordtail), 972 nucleotides. RefSeq lists it as uncharacterized. The record is from RefSeq and is a predicted model, not a curated record. The transcript is spliced from 2 exons. Lineage: Eukaryota; Metazoa; Chordata; Actinopteri; Cyprinodontiformes; Poeciliidae.
AUGCUAUUCCAUGAAUGAUACGGCUAGUUAGCUUAGCCACUGAUGACGGAGAAUAAACGGUUUUCCUUGCACGCCGGCCCCACUGUUCUUCUUGGCACUCACUAUACUACUGUUCAAAAUGUCUUGGAGAAGUUACUACAAAUCUUCAGUGGAUUAAGUCUUUCAGGGCGUCUUCUGUCUCAGCAUGGUGUCCCUGUCUGACUCCAUGAUAUCCAGAUCGGUUCUCUGUGGGGGAGGGAUGAGUCAUCUGUUGAAGUGUUGUGUAUGAAGUCGGCGUUUAAGACAAGGCAUGUUGUCCUACAUGAAUGUGGACCGAGGGUUUUUCUUUCAACUGGAAUUCCUUAAAGAAGAUUGUAGAUAUAUUUUUGAAUUUUUCCUCAUUCCAAGUUAUGUCUGCUUCCAACUUUGUGUAAUAGAAAAGAAAGAUCACUCUGCCCACAUCACCGAACACCUGAUGCUAGGAGGUGAAAGGAUUCUCUGCUGGAAGUCCCUCACCAUCACAUAAUCUGCUUGCUGCUGUGCCUGAAGCUCUUUAGUUCAUUUUAUUCACUCGACUAUCAAAGAAUCCCAUGUUGGAAAAUCAUGUUACUCAAUACGUAAACAGUAUGUUCAAGGACACGUUAUGACUUGUUCUGCUAAACAACACUGUGCACAGCUCCUUUAAUUACACCAGUGUUUCUAAAUCUUUUUUGAGCCAGCGCCCUUUAUCUGUCAUCUAGGUCCUUCACCACCCCCCAUCAAAGAAGAUGUAGGCUACUUGCACUGAACAUUAUUUUCAUUUAAAUGUAGCUCAGAGCCUCUCUGGAUGUGUGUUUUAUAAAAGAAAAACACAUUACUGAAUUAUUAGUUUAACAGAGAAGAAAAAAACCAUGUGAGUAGAAAUGAUUUUUACAGGUGUGUAAGAAAAUGGAAUUUAAAAUCAGUAGAGCUAACAGCAGCCAAUCAGGGUGGAAAAUAAAAAAUUGAUUCAAA